UUGUUGCAUACUCUUACUUACUGCAUAAAGUCAUAAUCCUUUAUGACGUAAUCAGCAUUUAUGCAAUAGCAAAUUGUUAAGUUGCAGAAAGGAAGUUGCACUUUAGGAAUUCUGAUCUGAAAGCACUCUGAGGGCUGUCACCGGAUGGCUGACUUCAGUAGGGCUUGAAGACAUCCAACAUUUCUCAUUGUCAGUCCUGCUUUCCUGAAGUCAACCAAACUGUGUUUUUGAAGAGAGAUUUCAUGAAGAGCCAGGACAUUAUUCAACAUAUGAAAAGAUGGACACAGCUUGGAUGCAAUCCCUGCUCAAGCUGAUGUGAAGUUUGCUACUGACCUUUGAGAAUCUAGAAUUUCACCAGAAGCUGGAAA
This 368-nucleotide long non-coding RNA is filed under the name Anas platyrhynchos platyrhynchos (common mallard). RNAcentral describes it as "lncRNA (ENSAPLG00000026935.1)". Lineage: Eukaryota; Metazoa; Chordata; Aves; Anseriformes; Anatidae. The record is from RNAcentral.